GAUGAAGAACGCAGCGAAACGCGAAAAGUAAUGUGAAUUGCAGAAUUCAGUGAAUCAUCGAAUCUUUGAACGCACAUUGCGCCCGCUGGUACUCCGGCGGGCACGCCUGUCCGAGCGUCAUUUCAACCCUCAAGCCCUCCUUCGGGAUGGGCCUGGUGUUGGGGCUCGGCCGCCAUCUCCGGCGGCCGUCCCCUAAAUACAGUGGCGGUCACGUCGCGACUCCUUUGCGUAGUAGAAACACCUCGCUCCGGAUAGCAACGCGGUCCACGCCGUAAAAUCCCCAAUUUUCAAUGGUUGACCUCGGAUCAGGUGGGAAUACCCGCUGAACUUAAGCAUAUCAAUAAGCGGAGGA
This 352-nucleotide unclassified non-coding RNA is filed under the name soil metagenome. RNAcentral's name for it is "partial contains 5.8S ribosomal RNA, internal transcribed spacer 2, and large subunit ribosomal RNA". The stretch from base 1 to 120 matches the Rfam family "5.8S ribosomal RNA", at positions 35 to 154 of the family's 154-position model. The record is from RNAcentral.